Long non-coding RNA from Gavialis gangeticus (Gharial), 2046 nucleotides. RefSeq lists it as uncharacterized. The transcript is spliced from 2 exons. Lineage: Eukaryota; Metazoa; Chordata; Crocodylia; Gavialidae. The record is from RefSeq and is a predicted model, not a curated record.
UCAGAGGUGUAUUAAGCUUCCAGAAGCAGCAGCUUACUUCAUUAGAUGCUAAGGUGAUCUUGUAAGGUAGAGUUUGAACAAGCUUAGUACAUAUUUGCAAAAUAUCAUCUUCCUUGUUCUGCUUGGGGUUCAGAAUCUUAAGGACUACCAGUGUGUCAUGGGCUUGAACAAAAAGUGUCUCAUCCAUAAGUAAAUUUACUACCCACAGCUGAGCUAGCAGCAGCUGCCACAUUUCCUUGUCAGUUUGUCACCUUGGCCUUGGACACCCAUUCUCAACAGCUGGAACCUCCUUCAUUGUUCUGUCAUCCAAUUCUUGACACCAUCACAAGAAAUUCAUCAGCAACCUUUUUUGUUAAAGGAGAUGAAGACUGUUACCUUUGUUUUCCAUAUUGAAAAAGUUCUUGGGAAAUAAAAUUUGCUGCCCGUGAGUUAUCAGAUACAUCCUGGGGAAAUAAAGUCCAGGGAAAGCUACCUCAUGUUUCCCAAUUCCCACUGUAAAUUCUGUCUGGGAGAUGUGCAGGAAACUGUAGGACAUUUGCCCAGAGAACAUUUCAGAAAGAUCUCUUCCAGAGUGCUAGUUUGAGCGCAAGGAAAAAAAAAGUAUAAGUUUUUCUUCAUGCAUUUCAGCUUGUAACAUGACAAACAUGUUAUGAUAUCAGACUGUCUGUAUCAGUGUCUUGGCACAUGUUAUACUUAUGGUGUAAUUGUGUUCUGCCCACAUGGGCUGCAGAGCAAGGCACUUUAAAAUGCUGGGUUGCAGGGAGCCAGGCUGAACUAGCAGUUUUUAAGUGUCCUGGGGACAUUGAGAUGAGGGAGAGAUUCCCUGAUUCCAAGGUCUCAGUGGCCAGGGAUUUCUAAAAGCCAUGUCUGCAGCUGGGCUGUCCCAGGGUUAUUCUGACAAUCAGCUGAUUGUCAGACCUUGGCCCAACAGCCCAGGCUCUUCAAUCGAUCUAGAACUAUUGGGGCUGGGUCUGAUAAUCAGCAGAUUGUCACACCUGGCCCUCACAAUCUAGGGUCUCAAACUGGACCUGGGAGCAUUGGGGCUUUGGGGCCCAGUUGAUUGUUGUACCUCCUCUUGACCCAGCCAGGACUGCCAGGGCUCAGUCUGACAAUCAAGUAAUUAAUUAUUGAACCUGGCCCCAAGAGCCUCUGGCCUGGAAUCUACUGGUGGUUGGGGGUAGCCCUGUGUGUCCAGAACAGAGCCUCCCCUGCCCAAUCUGCAGGGUCAGGCUGGGGGCAGCUGAGCAGUGGCUCACUUGGGAUCAGAGGAAUUUUUUAAAGCCCCAUCACAAAUAUCGCUGUCCUGCCAUGCCAGAAAUGCAUGGCAGGAGGCACGAUGUUUGGCAUGGGGCAUAAAAUUCCUUUGAUCCCAACUGCACCAUUGUUUUAAUAUCUGCCAGGGUCCUUAUACUGGGUCCAAAGCAAAAGGCACGCGCAGUAGAGAAUGGGGAGCCUCAAGGCUUACAGCUGUCUUUUUUCACUGCAGUGUCAGUUGUGCUAAAACUAAACAAAUGUCCCAGUAUGAAUGUACCAUAAAAAAAGAAAGCAUUUUCUCUGUUGUAUAGACCAAUUCUAUAUUUUUGUAGUAUCUUAAUCUAAUGAUAAAGACUGUAUACUGUUGGAAUUUUUGCCUAUCUUUGAAACGAAUGCCUCAGUGCCUUACAGAAUUCAGUAAUGUUUAUAACUUCAUAUCAACAUACUUUAAUGAAUUUGAAUAACUUAGUAUAAUGUAAUACAAUUCUAAAUGAUAGUACUGAUGUGGCACAUUGUUGUAGAUGCUGCUAUCCAAAAUCUUCAGAAGUUGUAUGAAGAGGUAAUGAUGCGGAAGCUAUUGUUCAUACAGGAAGCUGUCCUCACUUUGACAUCUAUAGAAAAACAUUUAACUAAAUCUAUGUAAUCUUUCUUUCCUGCUGACAGUUAGUGAAAAGUUGUUGCUGACAGGGAUAGACAGAAACUAAAACUACUGUGUUUUGGUAUUUAUCAUUUUUUGGUAUUUAUCAUUCUUAUAUUCCUUUUAUUUCAAAAUAAAAACUUAGUUAAAACAAA